AGCGAGACCUUCGGGUCUAGCGGCGGACGGGUUAGUAACGCGUGGGAACGUGCCCUUUACUACGGAAUAGUCCCGGGAAACUGGGUUUAAUACCGUAUACGCCCUUCGGGGGAAAGAUUUAUCGGUAAAGGAUCGGCCCGCGUUAGAUUAGAUAGUUGGUGGGGUAAUGGCCUACCAAGUCUACGAUCUAUAGCUGGUUUGAGAGGAUGAUCAGCAACACUGGGACUGAGACACGGCCCAGACUCCUACGGGAGGCAGCAGUGGGGAAUCUUAGACAAUGGGCGCAAGCCUGAUCUAGCCAUGCCGCGUGAGUGACGAAGGCCUUAGGGUCGUAAAGCUCUUUCGCCAGGGAUGAUAAUGACAGUACCUGGUAAAGAAACCCCGGCUAACUCCGUGCCAGCAGCCGCGGUAAUACGGAGGGGGUUAGCGUUGUUCGGAAUUACUGGGCGUAAAGCGCACGUAGGCGGACUGGAAAGUUGGGGGUGAAAUCCCGGGGCUCAACCUCGGAACUGCCUCCAACUACU
RNAcentral lists this ribosomal RNA (524 nucleotides) under uncultured prokaryote. RNAcentral describes it as "bacterial SSU rRNA". It matches the Rfam family "Bacterial small subunit ribosomal RNA", at positions 65 to 634 of the family's 1533-position model. The record is from RNAcentral.